This 2895-nucleotide ribosomal RNA is filed under the name Shigella sonnei. RNAcentral describes it as "bacterial LSU rRNA". It matches the Rfam family "Bacterial large subunit ribosomal RNA". The record is from RNAcentral. Lineage: Bacteria; Pseudomonadati; Pseudomonadota; Gammaproteobacteria; Enterobacterales; Enterobacteriaceae.
GGGUUGUGAGGUUAAGCGACUAAGCGUACACGGUGGAUGCCCUGGCAGUCAGAGGCGAUGAAGGACGUGCUAAUCUGCGAUAAGCGUCGGUAAGGUGAUAUGAACCGUUAUAACCGGCGAUUUCCGAAUGGGGAAACCCAGUGUGUUUCGACACACUAUCAUUAACUGAAUCCAUAGGUUAAUGAGGCGAACCGGGGGAACUGAAACAUCUAAGUACCCCGAGGAAAAGAAAUCAACCGAGAUUCCCCCAGUAGCGGCGAGCGAACGGGGAGCAGCCCAGAGCCUGAAUCAGUGUGUGUGUUAGUGGAAGCGUCUGGAAAGGCGCGCGAUACAGGGUGACAGCCCCGUACACAAAAAUGCACAUAUUGUGAGCUCGAUGAGUAGGGCGGGACACGNNCCAUCCUCCAAGGCUAAAUACUCCUGACUGACCGAUAGUGAACCAGUACCGUGAGGGAAAGGCGAAAAGAACCCCGGCGAGGGGAGUGAAAAAGAACCUGAAACCGUGUACGUACAAGCAGUGGGAGCACGCUUAGGCGUGUGACUGCGUACCUUUUGUAUAAUGGGUCAGCGACUUAUAUUCUGUAGCAAGGUUAACCGAAUAGGGGAGCCGAAGGGAAACCGAGUCUUAACUGGGCGUUAAGUUGCAGGGUAUAGACCCGAAACCCGGUGAUCUAGCCAUGGGCAGGUUGAAGGUUGGGUAACACUAACUGGAGGACCGAACCGACUAAUGUUGAAAAAUUAGCGGAUGACUUGUGGCUGGGGGUGAAAGGCCAAUCAAACCGGGAGAUAGCUGGUUCUCCCCGAAAGCUAUUUAGGUAGCGCCUCGUGAAUUCAUCUCCGGGGGUAGAGCACUGUUUCGGCAAGGGGGUCAUCCCGACUUACCAACCCGAUGCAAACUGCGAAUACCGGAGAAUGUUAUCACGGGAGACACACGGCGGGUGCUAACGUCCGUCGUGAAGAGGGAAACAACCCAGACCGCCAGCUAAGGUCCCAAAGUCAUGGUUAAGUGGGAAACGAUGUGGGAAGGCCCAGACAGCCAGGAUGUUGGCUUAGAAGCAGCCAUCAUUUAAAGAAAGCGUAAUAGCUCACUGGUCGAGUCGGCCUGCGCGGAAGAUGUAACGGGGCUAAACCAUGCACCGAAGCUGCGGCAGCGACGCUUAUGCGUUGUUGGGUAGGGGAGCGUUCUGUAAGCCUGCGAAGGUGUGCUGUGAGGCAUGCUGGAGGUAUCAGAAGUGCGAAUGCUGACAUAAGUAACGAUAAAGCGGGUGAAAAGCCCGCUCGCCGGAAGACCAAGGGUUCCUGUCCAACGUUAAUCGGGGCAGGGUGAGUCGACCCCUAAGGCGAGGCCGAAAGGCGUAGUCGAUGGGAAACAGGUUAAUAUUCCUGUACUUGGUGUUACUGCGAAGGGGGGACGGAGAAGGCUAUGUUGGCCGGGCGACGGUUGUCCCGGUUUAAGCGUGUAGGCUGGUUUUCCAGGCAAAUCCGGAAAAUCAAGGCUGAGGCGUGAUGACGAGGCACUACGGUGCUGAAGCAACAAAUGCCCUGCUUCCAGGAAAAGCCUCUAAGCAUCAGGUAACAUCAAAUCGUACCCCAAACCGACACAGGUGGUCAGGUAGAGAAUACCAAGGCGCUUGAGAGAACUCGGGUGAAGGAACUAGGCAAAAUGGUGCCGUAACUUCGGGAGAAGGCACGCUGAUAUGUAGGUGAAGUCCCUUGCGGAUGGAGCUGAAAUCAGUCGAAGAUACCAGCUGGCUGCAACUGUUUAUUAAAAACACAGCACUGUGCAAACACGAAAGUGGACGUAUACGGUGUGACGCCUGCCCGGUGCCGGAAGGUUAAUUGAUGGGGUCAGCGCAAGCGAAGCUCUUGAUCGAAGCCCCGGUAAACGGCGGCCGUAACUAUAACGGUCCUAAGGUAGCGAAAUUCCUUGUCGGGUAAGUUCCGACCUGCACGAAUGGCGUAAUGAUGGCCAGGCUGUCUCCACCCGAGACUCAGUGAAAUUGAACUCGCUGUGAAGAUGCAGUGUACCCGCGGCAAGACGGAAAGACCCCGUGAACCUUUACUAUAGCUUGACACUGAACAUUGAGCCUUGAUGUGUAGGAUAGGUGGGAGGCUUUGAAGUGUGGACGCCAGUCUGCAUGGAGCCGGCCUUGAAAUACCACCCUUUAAUGUUUGAUGUUCUAACGUGGACCCGUGAUCCGGGUUGCGGACAGUGUCUGGUGGGUAGUUUGACUGGGGCGGUCUCCUCCUAAAGAGUAACGGAGGAGCACGAAGGUUGGCUAAUCCUGGUCGGACAUCAGGAGGUUAGUGCAAUGGCAUAAGCCAGCUUGACUGCGAGCGUGACGGCGCGAGCAGGUGCGAAAGCAGGUCAUAGUGAUCCGGUGGUUCUGAAUGGAAGGGCCAUCGCUCAACGGAUAAAAGGUACUCCGGGGAUAACAGGCUGAUACCGCCCAAGAGUUCAUAUCGACGGCGGUGUUUGGCACCUCGAUGUCGGCUCAUCACAUCCUGGGGCUGAAGUAGGUCCCAAGGGUAUGGCUGUUCGCCAUUUAAAGUGGUACGCGAGCUGGGUUUAGAACGUCGUGAGACAGUUCGGUCCCUAUCUGCCGUGGGCGCUGGAGAACUGAGGGGGGCUGCUCCUAGUACGAGAGGACCGGAGUGGACGCAUCACUGGUGUUCGGGUUGUCAUGCCAAUGGCACUGCCCGGUAGCUAAAUGCGGAAGAGAUAAGUGCUGAAAGCAUCUAAGCACGAAACUUGCCCCGAGAUGAGUUCUCCCUGACCCUUUAAGGGUCCUGAAGGAACGUUGAAGACGACGACGUUGAUAGGCCGGGUGUGUAAGCGCAGCGAUGCGUUGAGCUAACCGGUACUAAUGAACCGUGAGGCUUAACCUUACAACG